UAGCAGUUAAAAAGCUCGUAGUUGAAUUUCGGGAUCGACGGGUCGGUCGCGCCUCCGGUGUGAACGGGCCCUGUCGGUUUCUCCCUUCUGACGAAACCACGAUGUCAUUAAUUAGAUGUCGUGGGGAAUCAGGACUGUUACUUUGAAAAAAUUAGAGUGUUUAAAGCAGGCAUUCGCUUGAAUACAUUAGCAUGGAAUAAUGAAAUAGGACGUUCGAUCCUAUUUUGUUGGUUUCUAGGAUUGACGUAAUGAUUAAUAGGGAUAGUUGGGGGCAUUAGUAUUCAAUUGUCAGAGGUGAAAUUCUUGGAUUUAUUGAAGACUAACUACUGCGAAAGCAUUUGCCAAGGAUGUUUUCAUUAAUCAAGAACGAAAGUUAGGGGAUCGAAGACGAUCAGAUACCGUCGUAGUCUUAACCAUAAACUAUGCCGACUAGGGAUCGGAUGAUGUUAAUUUUUUAAUGA
RNAcentral lists this ribosomal RNA (461 nucleotides) under uncultured Glomus. Its description in RNAcentral is "SSU rRNA". It matches the Rfam family "Eukaryotic small subunit ribosomal RNA", at positions 615 to 1077 of the family's 1831-position model. The record is from RNAcentral. Lineage: Eukaryota; Fungi; Glomeromycota; Glomeromycetes; Glomerales; Glomeraceae.